This 645-nucleotide long non-coding RNA is filed under the name Oryza brachyantha (malo sina). RNAcentral's name for it is "long non-coding RNA (OBRA_LNC002882)". Lineage: Eukaryota; Viridiplantae; Streptophyta; Magnoliopsida; Poales; Poaceae. The record is from RNAcentral.
CCGAUGGCAAGACCCACCGCUGCUAGACCUGAUCGAAUAAUCCACACCCACACAGGUUCAUCGGAUGCAAUAAUUUAAUUAAUUACCGGACAAAUUGCGUGCAAAUUGAUCAAUGUGCUAGCUGCAUCUGCAUAGUUGUCGUCGUCGUUCUCUCAUCGAUCGGUCGGCAGCAAGUACCGGACCCCGGCGAUCGAUCAGCCGUACGUAUGACUAGUUUGUACAGCAUCCUCAUCUCUGAAUCGUGGCAGCAGUGGGCGCCGCCGGAAUUGAAGGCCAUAUGCAUGCCUGCCUGCCUGCCUGCUGGCCGAGUACAUGCAUAGAUCCACAGUACAUGGGAAUUGCAAGCACGCUCAAUUCAACUGUAAUGUGUAUGUCCAAUGCCCAUGUCUGUAUUAGGCUUGCGUCGUUCUCUUCCUAAUUUUAGGACAAUUGCAUGACUAUUUUAGAGUCUAAUUAUAGAUUUAGUCCUGUUUUUUUUACUUUGCAGAUUUAACCUCGGUUUUCAAAAUCAAAUCUUCCGUUUGACCCUGCUGUUAAUUUACCAUGAGCAGUGUAAAUAGAAACAAGAGAAAAAAAAUAAACAUGCAAAAUAACAACAAUACCCCUCUCUUCUCUCUAAUCCUAUCUGUAGUUCCCCUCUCCCAU